Molecule: non-coding RNA, 282 nt
Organism: Erinaceus europaeus (western European hedgehog)
Lineage: Eukaryota; Metazoa; Chordata; Mammalia; Eulipotyphla; Erinaceidae
Source: Rfam
GGAUGUGAGGGCGAUCUGGCUGUGACAUCUGUCACCCCACUGAUUGCCAGGGUUGAUUGGGCUGAUCUGGCUGGCUGGUGGGUGUCCCCUUCCUCCCUCACUGCUCCAUGUGUGUCCCUCCCAAAGCUGCACACUCAGUGGAAGGGGACAGCCUUCCCCAAAUAGAGACAGGUCUUAGGUCGAGGGUAUAUGAGUAGCUCUUCUGCUAGAACCUCCAAACAAGCUCUCAAUAAACUUAAUCUACAGUUGUUGGACAUCUCUGAAUGGACUGAAGUUAGGGCU